UGGGGUAUAGCUCGGUCUGGUUAGAGCAAUCGUCUGAUAAGCGAUAGGUCGUGGGUUCAAAUCCCACUGCCCCAAC
This 76-nucleotide transfer RNA is filed under the name Streptomyces phage Annadreamy. RNAcentral describes it as "tRNA-Ile". It matches the Rfam family "tRNA". From Rfam's summary of the family: Transfer RNA (tRNA) molecules are approximately 80 nucleotides in length. Their secondary structure includes four short double-helical elements and three loops (D, anti-codon, and T loops). The record is from RNAcentral. RNAcentral also lists the same sequence under 1 other name. Lineage: Duplodnaviria; Heunggongvirae; Uroviricota; Caudoviricetes; Stanwilliamsviridae.